RNAcentral lists this ribosomal RNA (1453 nucleotides) under Lacticaseibacillus paracasei. Its description in RNAcentral is "bacterial SSU rRNA". It matches the Rfam family "Bacterial small subunit ribosomal RNA". The record is from RNAcentral. Lineage: Bacteria; Bacillati; Bacillota; Bacilli; Lactobacillales; Lactobacillaceae.
UAAUACAUGCAAGUCGAACGAGUUCUCGUUGAUGAUCGGUGCUUGCACCGAGAUUCAACAUGGAACGAGUGGCGGACGGGUGAGUAACACGUGGGUAACCUGCCCUUAAGUGGGGGAUAACAUUUGGAAACAGAUGCUAAUACCGCAUAGAUCCAAGAACCGCAUGGUUCUUGGCUGAAAGAUGGCGUAAGCUAUCGCUUUUGGAUGGACCCGCGGCGUAUUAGCUAGUUGGUGAGGUAAUGGCUCACCAAGGCGAUGAUACGUAGCCGAACUGAGAGGUUGAUCGGCCACAUUGGGACUGAGACACGGCCCAAACUCCUACGGGAGGCAGCAGUAGGGAAUCUUCCACAAUGGACGCAAGUCUGAUGGAGCAACGCCGCGUGAGUGAAGAAGGCUUUCGGGUCGUAAAACUCUGUUGUUGGAGAAGAAUGGUCGGCAGAGUAACUGUUGUCGGCGUGACGGUAUCCAACCAGAAAGCCACGGCUAACUACGUGCCAGCAGCCGCGGUAAUACGUAGGUGGCAAGCGUUAUCCGGAUUUAUUGGGCGUAAAGCGAGCGCAGGCGGUUUUUUAAGUCUGAUGUGAAAGCCCUCGGCUUAACCGAGGAAGCGCAUCGGAAACUGGGAAACUUGAGUGCAGAAGAGGACAGUGGAACUCCAUGUGUAGCGGUGAAAUGCGUAGAUAUAUGGAAGAACACCAGUGGCGAAGGCGGCUGUCUGGUCUGUAACUGACGCUGAGGCUCGAAAGCAUGGGUAGCGAACAGGAUUAGAUACCCUGGUAGUCCAUGCCGUAAACGAUGAAUGCUAGGUGUUGGAGGGUUUCCGCCCUUCAGUGCCGCAGCUAACGCAUUAAGCAUUCCGCCUGGGGAGUACGACCGCAAGGUUGAAACUCAAAGGAAUUGACGGGGGCCCGCACAAGCGGUGGAGCAUGUGGUUUAAUUCGAAGCAACGCGAAGAACCUUACCAGGUCUUGACAUCUUUUGAUCACCUGAGAGAUCAGGUUUCCCCUUCGGGGGCAAAAUGACAGGUGGUGCAUGGUUGUCGUCAGCUCGUGUCGUGAGAUGUUGGGUUAAGUCCCGCAACGAGCGCAACCCUUAUGACUAGUUGCCAGCAUUUAGUUGGGCACUCUAGUAAGACUGCCGGUGACAAACCGGAGGAAGGUGGGGAUGACGUCAAAUCAUCAUGCCCCUUAUGACCUGGGCUACACACGUGCUACAAUGGAUGGUACAACGAGUUGCGAGACCGCGAGGUCAAGCUAAUCUCUUAAAGCCAUUCUCAGUUCGGACUGUAGGCUGCAACUCGCCUACACGAAGUCGGAAUCGCUAGUAAUCGCGGAUCAGCACGCCGCGGUGAAUACGUUCCCGGGCCUUGUACACACCGCCCGUCACACCAUGAGAGUUUGUAACACCCGAAGCCGGUGGCGUAACCCUUUUAGGGAGCGAGCCGUCUAAGGUG